RNAcentral lists this ribosomal RNA (467 nucleotides) under uncultured bacterium. RNAcentral's name for it is "bacterial SSU rRNA". It matches the Rfam family "Bacterial small subunit ribosomal RNA", at positions 329 to 793 of the family's 1533-position model. The record is from RNAcentral.
GUCCAGACUCCUACGGGAGGCAGCAGUGAGGAAUAUUGGUCAAUGGGCUUACGCCUGAACCAGCCAAGUCGCGUGAGGGAAGACUGCCCUAUGGGUUGUAAACCUCUUUUGUCAGGGAGCAAUUGGCGCUACGUGUAGCGUUAUCGAGAGUACCUGAAGAAAAAGCAUCGGCUAACUCCGUGCCAGCAGCCGCGGUAAUACGGAGGAUGCGAGCGUUAUCCGGAUUUAUUGGGUUUAAAGGGUGCGCAGGGGGCGAGUUAAGUCGGCGGUAAAAUUUGGGGGCUCAACCCCGACAAGCCGUUGAAACUGGCUUGCUAGAGUGGGCGAGAAGUAUGCGGAAUGCGUGGUGUAGCGGUGAAAUGCGUAGAUAUCACGCAGAACUCCGAUUGCGAAGGCAGCAUACCGGCGCCCAACUGACGCUCAGGCACGAAAGCGUGGGUAUCGAACAGGAUUAGAUACCCGAGUAU